RNAcentral lists this ribosomal RNA (440 nucleotides) under uncultured bacterium. RNAcentral describes it as "partial 16S ribosomal RNA". It matches the Rfam family "Bacterial small subunit ribosomal RNA", at positions 338 to 795 of the family's 1533-position model. The record is from RNAcentral.
CCUACGGGAGGCUGCAGUAGGGAAUAUUGCUCAAUGGGGGAAACCCUGAAGCAGCAACGCCGCGUGGAGGAUGAAGGUUUUCGGAUUGUAAACUCCUUUUGUUAGAGAAGAUAAUGACGGUAUCUAACGAAUAAGCACCGGCUAACUCCGUGCCAGCAGCCGCGGUAAUACGGAGGGUGCAAGCGUUACUCGGAAUCACUGGGCGGAAAGAGCGCGUAGGCGGGAUAGCAAGUCAGAUGUGAAAUCCUAUGGCUUAACCAUAGAACUGCAUUUGAAACUGUUAUUCUAGAGUAUGGGAGAGGUAGGUGGAAUGCUUGGUGUAGGGGUAAAAUCCGUAGAGAUCAAGAGGAAUACUCAUUGCGAAGGCGACCUGCUAGAACAUAACUGACGCUGAUGCGCGAAAGCGUGGGGAGCAAACAGGAUUAGAUACCCUUGUAGUC